RNAcentral lists this ribosomal RNA (776 nucleotides) under uncultured Neocallimastigales. RNAcentral's name for it is "partial large subunit ribosomal RNA". It matches the Rfam family "Eukaryotic large subunit ribosomal RNA", at positions 23 to 620 of the family's 3401-position model. Lineage: Eukaryota; Fungi; Neocallimastigomycota; Neocallimastigomycetes; Neocallimastigales. The record is from RNAcentral.
AGAGAGAGACAUGCGCGCAUAUCAAUAAGCGGAGGAAAAGAAACUAACAAGGAUUCCCUUAGUAACGGCGAGUGGAGCGGGAAGAGCUCAAAUUUGAAAUCUUCAAGGUUUUACCUUGACGAAUUGUAGUUUAAAGAAGUGUUUUCUGCUGAAGUUUUGGUAAAAGUUCUUUGGAAUAGGACAUCAUAGAGGGUGAGAAUCCCGUAUUUGACCAUUAUUUUCAGCUUUGUGAUACACUUUCAAAGAGUCGGAUUGUUUGGGAAUGCAGUCCAAAAUGGGUGGUAAAUUUCAUCUAAAGCUAAAUAUUGGCGAGUAGACCGAUAGCGAACAAGUACCGUGAGGGAAAGAUGAAAAGAACUUUGAAAAGAGAGUUAAACAGUACGUGAAAUUGUCAAAAGGGAAGCGUUUGACACCAGUGUUGUUUUCUCGAAAAUCAAUUAAAAAUGGCUCGAUUUUGUAUUGCUUGAGACCUUAAAAGCUCACUGUACAUUUUUCGUGUCUUUUUUAAUGCACUUUUCGUUUAACAAGUCAACAUCAGUUUCUUUUGUUGUAAAAGGGUCAUUGGAAGGUGGCUUUCUUUUCGGAGAAAGUGUUUAUAGCCUUUGGCCUCUGCAAUCGGAGAGACUGAGGUCUGCAGCGUAGACUCUUCGGGGUUAGAUACAUUUGUGCUAAGUUAUAGCUUUUUAUAGACAACUUGUUGACUAUAAUUAGUCUUGUAGCUUACUCGCUUAUGCUAUUUUACCUACGCUUAGGAUGUUGAAGAUGUAGCACAUCAU